Molecule: non-coding RNA, 162 nt
Organism: Vicia faba (fava bean)
Lineage: Eukaryota; Viridiplantae; Streptophyta; Magnoliopsida; Fabales; Fabaceae
Source: the annotation of a GenBank genome assembly
AUGAUUGGAAUUCUAGGUUUUUUGGAUGUAUGUAUUGAAUUUGAUUUAUGGUUCAAUGCAGGACGUGAUUUGAAUUGUCUGGAUUUUGGUACCAACUGGUUGUUGUAUGCAGGUUGGAUUUUGUAUGAAGAUGAACUUGAGUUGUUUGCGAAUGUAAUGUGA